Molecule: ribosomal RNA, 419 nt
Filed under: uncultured ammonia-oxidizing beta proteobacterium
Lineage: Bacteria; Pseudomonadati; Pseudomonadota; Betaproteobacteria
Description: bacterial SSU rRNA
Rfam family: Bacterial small subunit ribosomal RNA
Source: RNAcentral
UGGAGGAAAGCAGGGGAUCGCAAGACCUUGCGCUUUUGGAGUGGCCGAUGCCUGAUUAGCUAGUUGGUAGGGUAAUGGCUUACCAAGGCGACGAUCAGUAGUUGGUCUGAGAGGACGACCAGCCACACUGGGACUGAGACACGGCCCAGACUCCUACGGGAGGCAGCAGUGGGGAAUUUUGGACAAUGGGCGAAAGCCUGAUCCAGCAAUGCCGCGUGAGUGAAGAAGGCCUUCGGGUUGUAAAGCUCUUUCAGUCGAGAAGAAAAGGUUGUGACUAAUAAUCACAACUCAUGACGGUAUCGACAGAAGAAGCACCGGCUAACUACGUGCCAGCAGCCGCGGUAAUACGUAGGGUGCGAGCGUUAAUCGGAAUUACUGGGCGUAAAGGGUGCGCAGGCGGCUUUGUAAGUCAGAUGUGA